This 1382-nucleotide long non-coding RNA is filed under the name Brassica napus (rape). Its description in RNAcentral is "long non-coding RNA (BNAP_LNC000840)". The record is from RNAcentral. Lineage: Eukaryota; Viridiplantae; Streptophyta; Magnoliopsida; Brassicales; Brassicaceae.
AAAAAGAGAACAACCGUGUGACGAAGCCCUAGCUCCGGUCGCCGCUCAACGGCACCGGAGGCGUAACUCUCCUCUCCUCUAUCUCUCCUUUUCCUUUGCCCUCAUCCCCUCUGUUAUAAACCUAGUUCGAUAUGUGCGGUUCUGUGAGCUGUUGAGACCCUUACCGGAGAUCCUCUGUGGUUGAUGGAGGCGGUUAUUGACUUCUUUUGGAGAGUCGGCGAGAACCAGGAGGCAGUCGGAGGCGAGGGUCGGCGUUUAGAACCUAGGGUUCUGUCAAGAUCAGAUUUUCCCUUUUGUAGAUCUUCGAUGGAGCCCCCUCGAUGACGGCGCGUGACAUUGGCGAGACGUCUCCUAGAUACCAGAUCUACCUUCCCCUGUGACGGUGAGAUGGCUGGAGAAGUAGUGUAAUGGGCGACGAAAAGAUGCGUUGGUUCUUCGGUGUACGAAGACGUUGCACUUCAAGGAAUCACGGCGAUGACGUUGUGAAACACGGCGGUACGGUCUCUGCAAUUCUUGUAGUCAUGAGCUGAAAUGCCUGUCUUGUUGUAGUUGUCAAGGUUCAUUUUUUAAUUCGGUCUGUGUGCUUGGCUUGGGUUUUGACCUAACUCACCUGUGGUGUUGACAUUGUUGGUACACGAGCUGUCUGUGUCUUAUGAGGAGACCAACAAUUGGAGAAGAUAUGUUAAUCGGUUAGUUGUGGCCUGUAUUUAGUCAGUGUGUAUCUAGAGAGUUUCGUGGUUUUCUUUAUGCCAGAGUGUGGUGUGAGUUUUUAAGGCCUGGUGAGAAUGGAUUUAGCAGAUUUUACUUCGUAUGGUGGCGGUUUCAGUGGUCGUUUGCAGAUUCAGUUCUUCUUCCGUAUGUCUGGAGGGGUCCGUUUGGCAAGGCUUCAUUUUGUUGAGAGUGUGUUUGGGCUUCUAUCAAGGAGUAAGUGGACGCUGGGUGCGUCGAAUCAGUAUCUGAAGGUGUGUGAAUCGUGUAGCGGUUCUUCCUGUCGGGUUAUGAAGUUGUAGGGUCUUGGUUCUUGGACGUUAUCGUGUGGCGGGCAUGAGCAGCAACGAUAAGUCGUGGUGUCUUAGGUGCAGGAGGUCGAGAUUAUCGUGUGGCGGGCUAUGGGCAGCAGCGACUAUUUCCGAUCAUUGGCCUCUACUAAGUCUUAAAAUUUGCUAAGUUAAUUCUCUUAUGGCUCUUGGGCAGUUGGUAGUCUGUUAUAGAUUAAGUUUCGGCUUGGAUCCUUUUGUUUUGUUUGCCGUAAGUUGCCCCGGUGUGGGUUCUAGUUGCCGUCUUCAUGUGGGCUUUUGUGUCUGGAGAUUGUUCAUGCAUCCGCCGGUUUAUGUAUUGAAUCAUGUAUGUUUCUUUUGAAUGAUAAGUACUUUUGCUGGAAA